CCCUUAGAUGUUCUGGGCCGCACGCGCGCUACACUGAUGAACGCAACGAGACCACCUGUACCGAAAGGCAUGGGUAAAUUUGUGAAAGUUCAUCGUGAUGGGGAUAGAUUAUUGCAAUUAUUAAUCUUCAACGAGGAAUUCCUAGUAAGCGUGAUUCAUCAAAUCGCGUUGAUUACGUCCCUGCCCUUUGUACACACCGCCCGUCGCUCCUACCGAUUGAAUGUGUUGGUGAGGAGCUCGGAUUGGCAGCAGUUGGUGGUUCGCCACCGGCUAUUGCUGAGAAGUCCUCCAAACCGCCCCAUUUAGAGGAAGGAGAAGUCGUAACA
This 326-nucleotide ribosomal RNA is filed under the name uncultured eukaryote. RNAcentral describes it as "partial 18S ribosomal RNA". It matches the Rfam family "Eukaryotic small subunit ribosomal RNA", at positions 1470 to 1796 of the family's 1831-position model. The record is from RNAcentral.